GAUGAACGCUGGCGGCGUGCCUAAUACAUGCAAGUCGAGCGAACAGACGAGGAGCUUGCUCCUCUGACGUUAGCGGCGGACGGGUGAGUAACACGUGGAUAACCUACCUAUAAGACUGGGAUAACUUCGGGAAACCGGAGCUAAUACCGGAUAAUAUAUUGAACCGCAUGGUUCAAUAGUGAAAGACGGCUUUGCUGUCACUUAUAGAUGGAUCCGCGCCGCAUUAGCUAGUUGGUAAGGUAACGGCUUACCAAGGCAACGAUGCGUAGCCGACCUGAGAGGGUGAUCGGCCACACUGGAACUGAGACGCGGUCCAGACUCCUACGGGAGGCAGCAGUAGGGAAUCUUCCGCAAUGGGCGAAAGCUUGACGGAGCAACGCCGCGUGAGUGAUGAAGGUCUUCGGAUCGUGAAACUCGGUUAUUAGGGGAGAACAAAUGUGUAAGUGACUAUACACUUCUUGACGGUACCUAAUCAGAAAGCCACGGCUAACUACGUG
Molecule: ribosomal RNA, 497 nt
Filed under: uncultured bacterium
Lineage: Bacteria
Description: partial 16S ribosomal RNA
Rfam family: Bacterial small subunit ribosomal RNA
Source: RNAcentral